UUUUUUUUUUUUUAGACUAUGUACUUAGGCCAGGACUAAGAAAUCCAGUAACAGAAUUUUUAGUGGUUCUUAACAAAUAGGACUGCUUGAAAAAUCUGUAUGUUUUCAGUGAAAAACUCAGGUGUUUUUUUUUUUUUUUGAAAAUGAAAAAGUCUUCUGGCUGAAAGCUUAAGUGUUUUUCAGUAUUAGUCAUAGCAUUCAUUUUUCAGUAAAUCUCAAGCACUAUGGAAAUAGUCUGGACUGUGGGAAAGGGGGAAGAUGUUAUUUCUCUAAAGAAACAACGUAAACCUUCACCUGGAUUGUUUUGGGUUGCCUGUACAAGAAACAGAACCCCAACUUUGGUGAGUGGUUCCACCACCUCACGCUGAUGAUGCAGAAGCCCAUGUAGCCAGUCAAAACUGCUCAGUUGUUUGCCAUGGCAGAGGAGACAAAUAGGUCCCAAGUAAGUGAGGAUGAAACAGCAUCUCCUGAGAAAAUUGCUGGCUUAGUGAGUACAGAUACCAUUUUUUCACCCUAAAAAUUCUAGCUUAAAAAAAAAAAAAAAAAAAAAAGUGGUUUUGUUUGGCAUAAGACAUCAUGGUUCUGGAUAGGUCUUGUUCUGCAUUUGCCAGAGGCAGAGUUCAGUGCAGCGACUAUUUUAUGAAAUGAGCAUUGUUUAGUGUGCAAAGUGUGAAAUAUGACUGGACAGUGGGAAAGCUUUUUACCCGGGGUGAAUGUUAGCAAUGCCUAGUGUUUUGUGUUCUUGCUAAAUAUUGUCUCCCAUGCAAAUUAUAAUGUUAUACCUACCCAAACAUGCUCGGAAGUCAGAAUAGGAUAGUCUGUAUCAAAGUGAAAAUAGUUUUCACUGUUCAACAUCCUAUCACUAACCAUGCUUGCAGAACACUUAGACAUUAAUGCUUUUUUAGAACAUUCUGAAAGGGGGUUGCUGAGAUUAGUUGUGUGAUAAAUGGCCGGAAAGCAUUCCAAAACAUGUGAUUGCAAACUGAUCCUUAUUGUGCAACAAUGAAAGUCUGAGCUUGAUGGUAAUCAUCUAAAUAGUGAAACGCCUCCAGAUGCAUAAUGGGAGCUGCAGCCAACCCAAAGUGGGACACAGCAGAGCAAGUAACUGCACUGAGGUAUAUUGCUGUAGUGCUCCUGGUCCUGUGCAGCAGCUGCAUUUGAGUAGAGAAUGUUGAGACACUGUAGUUAAAGACAGAUGUUGUCAUUGAGAGUGAGAUGUUGGUGCACAGAUAAACCAAAAGCCCUGACUACCUUCUAGCAGUUCAGAAACAAGUUGGGCAGUCUGAACACGCACCUCAUGGCCAAAGCCUUUAUUUCUUUGGAAGACUGGGAUACAAAUGUCAAACUUGCCUGCACGUUAAAAUUGUCAUCCCUUUUUUCUGCAGCCAAACUUAAAGCAGUGGUGUUAGGAGAAGCAGAUGCUUCUGCCUCUGCCUGAUCCUGGGGCCAGUAAAGUUAUGGGAAGGAUAAUUGCAGUUUCUAAGGCUUGUUGUUUUUCAAAUUCCACUGCUUCUUCGGCAUCUAAACACCUACCAGCCUGAGACGUUACAGCCAUCUGAUGUGAAAUGUGUAUCAGUGAGUUUUGUUGGGUGAGUGGAAGAAGAUGGAUGCCUUCCAUUCCAGGAUGCAAGGGAUAGGAGUGCCACAUUCUUGCUUCAUCUCACUGCUCUGGCAGUCAGCUCAGUAACAACCAAGUGCUCAGUAUGACAAUAACGAUAACAAGCCGCUGCUUACCUCUCAUAUUAGUAUGGGGAAGGGAGGAAAACACUCCAUUGUCCUCCACAGCUUAGAUUAUCUUUGGGUAUACUUUUGUAACUUCUUUAUCACACCCUGUUCUGAUGUAAGAUCUGUCCUUAACACAUCAUUUUUCAGUAAAUGGGCUAUCUUAGGCCCCUUCAAAAUAUAAAUAUUAUUAAAAAUAAACCUCAAUUUGCCUGAGACUGUUUCUGUUUGGGAUGAGAACAAGUAUAGCAGCACUCAAUUCUUCUUGGAUCUUCAUACAUUUCCAUGGCACCCAAGCUCCAGGUGAGAACGUCUCUAACUUAAGCAGCAUGAAAUUGAUACUGGCAAUUGUGCUCACCCUUAAUGUGUCCUACAGGUGCCAUGGGCACUGACUGUCCAACAUACGCUUUUGAACUUCUUCCUUACUUUGAGAUUUGCCCUGGUCUCUUUCUUACUAACUUAAAAAAGAUAUUGAUGAAAAUGCAAUAUUUACAAUGUGCAGCAUCACCUCUCAUUCUUGCUUUAGAGAUUACUAUUAAUGUUCAGUAUUUCUCAGCGUGAGAAAGUAUUUGCUUUAAAUCAAACACUGUUAUCAAUGCACUAUAAUUUUCCAUUGCUCUUCUACAGUCUAAAUUGUCACAUCAGGUACAAUAUAAAAUAAGAGAACUUUCAGUGAGGGACCGGUUGCCAUAUGGCUGACACCUAAAAUCUCAGCAAUUUGGCAAGAAGAAAGUGGAAAAAGAUGAAGUAAAUUCCACAAAAUUAAUGCCAUAAGUAGGUGGCAGCUGUUAGUAAAGGAGAAAGAACAAAGAUAAAGUAAAAGAAAAGAAUAAUGAAUACCAAUGUUGCCAAAUAUUUUUCUCACAGAUGCGUGAAAAUAGAUUUCAAUGUAACUGUCCACACAGUAGACCAGUUUUCCAGGUUUCUUUUUAAAGAUCUAUUUUAAGCACAAAGUAUUUUUCCCCAUUUGAUUUAGAUAUAUAAGCUGAAAUGUGUCUUGGUUCUGAAGAGGAACAAACUUACUGCUUUCAUUGAGUGCUGCUUCCUCUCUUCCAGCCCAAAAAUAUGCUGUAGUCUUAAAUUUGUCACUUUAAUCCCACAAAUCACACCCACCUCAAAAGCACUUGGCACUGGCAUUGGUAGUGCUGCAUAAAAUAAUUCAAACAAUAACAUAUGGCUGGAAUUGAGAUGGCCCCAGGCUCAGUUUCUUGUUUCCCCUUGUAGAAGGCACUUUUAUCUUCUCAGCUGUAAAAUGAGAAAAGCAAUACUUAUUCCCUAUUAGAAAGUGCUUCAAGCUUCUUGUAUAUGAAUUGGAACAACAAGGCAUGCCUGUGGGCCAUCAUGGUUCUGGUGCUAAAUUUUCUAAAGGCUGAGCAUUUGUGUGGUUAUACUAACCUACAUUUUGUUUCAUGUUAAUAGAUUAAACUACAUACACACUGGGUUAAUUUCCCUAAUGUAAUUCCACAAGUGAGUAUAGAGACUGCUUUCUUACGGCUUGGAAAACUGAAAGGAAAAAAUAUAGCUGACUAAAAUCUCUACUUCUAUGCCAAUGCAGGGAAACUUUCAUAAAUAUUUCAAGGCUGAUAAGACUAGAGGAAUUGAUAGAGUGAUAGCUGGCUGUGUUGGGACACUAAAAAAACCUUCUGUGGUAUAAAGAUAUUUCUUGUGCCCCUCCAUCAUGUAUUAAUUUGUGCCCAUGCGUUUAAUUUUUCUUUCCAGCAUGUAAACCUCUUAGUGUAACUGUAAUCAUGCAGCAUAUGAAACUGGGGUCAAAAGCCUGGAGAUUUAUCAGAUGUCACAUUAUUCUAUCUAAAAAGAUACAAUAUUUGAGAUCAGGAAAAUGCCCUUAACACAGUCCUGGAAGUCAUGGACUACUGCAGUCUAACCAGCAUACCUGGAAAACACAUUAAUAAAAUGAAGGGUGCGAGUAGUGCAACUGCAGUUAUGGGAUUAUGUCUAUGCUAGAAGCUAAGAAUAUGCUCAGAAGUUUUCUGGGCUGAGAUACAGUUCCCUGCUACCUGUAGGACUGAGUGUUUUCGUUACUGUCUUCAUCCAUGAAGCUUCUGUCCUGCUUGCUUUCCUGUGUUUACAUAGUUUGUCCAAUUUUAUUGGAGAGAUGCUGGGAUUUGUCAGAGCCCAAGGUAAAAAGGUUCAGGACUUCUAAGUAUUGACUUUUGAGGCAGUGUAAAUUUUUAAAAUAAUCUCAGAUGGCUUCUAAUCUAUAGUAGUUCAUUAAUGAGUGGAAUUUUUGCAUGUCUUGAUGAAUCUUUAGGGACACAGUCUUGCCUCUAUUGCCCCUGCCUUGCCUCUUGUGAAGUAAACUGAUCACCAUGCUCCAUUUAUUUUUAAUUGAUAGCAACUCUGCAACAACUAUUAAGAUGACUGGUAACAUGUUAAAUGAGGUGCUGAGCAAACAGUGUAUGACCCUGUAUAUCGAGUCUGCAUGGCCAGGUUUUGGUAGUGGAGAGGCUACAGGGUGGCUCUGUGAGACACUGCCAGAAGCUUCCUUCACAUCCAGCAGAGUCAAUGCCAGGUGGCUCCAAGAUGAACAUGCUCCUGACUAAGGCUGAGCCAAUCAGGAAUUAUAGUAACAUCUCUGUGAUAAUGUAUUUGAGAAGAAAAAAUUGUUGAGCAGAUGUAUGCAGCCAGAGAAGUGUGGGGUGAAAAUACAUGGCAGAAACGACUCUGCAGGACACCAAGUGGAGCAGAGGGAGGAAGUGCUCCAGGUGCCAGAGCCAAGAUUGCCCUGCAGCCCAUUGUGAAGAAUAUGGUGAGGCAGCUGUCACCCUGCAGCCCACAGAGGACCACAGGGCUAUAGGGAUCCACCUGCAGCCUGUGGCAGAAACCCACACUAGAGCAGGUGGAUGCCUGAGAGGAGGCUGUGAACUUGUGGGAGGCCUGUGCUGGGACAGGCUCUUGGCAAGGAUCUGCAGACACAUAGAGAGAGGAGCCCAUGCUGGAGCAGGUUUUCUGGUAGGACUUGAGUCCCUGUGGGGACCCACACUGUAGCAGGAUGUGCCUGAAGGACUAUAUUCCGUGGAAGAGUGACCCAUGUUGCAGCAGUUCAUGGAGAACUGUUGCCCAUGGGUUGGACUUACGUUGAAGAAGUUUGUGGGGGAUUGUCUCCUAUGAGAGGGACCCCACAUUGCUGUAGGGGAGGGACUUCUCUCCCUGGUUGGCAGCAGAAACAACGAGUGACGAACUCACCAUAACCCCCACUCCCCAUCUCCCUGCACUGCUCUGGGGGAGAGGAGGUAGACCUCGGGAAGGAAGGGAAAGAGGGGUGGGGAGAAGGUGUUCUAAAGAUUUAUUUUACUUCUUAUCAUCCUGCUCUGAUUUUGUUAGUAAUAAGUUCAAUUAAUAUCCCCAAUUAGAAUCUCUUUUACCCAAGACGAUAUUUGGUGAGUGAUCUCUCCCGGUCCUUAUCUCAAUCCAUGAACCCUUCCUUUGAUAUAUUUUCUCUCCCUGUCCAGAUGCAAAGGGAAGUAAUAGAAGGGCCUGGUGUCCAGCCAGGAUCAACCCACUACAGACUUGAGAACUUAUAAUUUUUAUUUGUAAACAUCUGGGGAGACUAGAAUAUCUGGCUCCAAGAACCUUAAGAGACAUGGGACUGGCAUGCUGGAGCUCUGACAUCACUUGCCAGUUAGAUUCAGUGAGAUGAACAAUGCUAAAAGCUCUUUGGUGUAAUGAAGAUAAGGCUGCUGCCAGGAUGGUUCUGUAAGAGGACUGAAGCACUCUUUGGUCCAUGUUUUCUUACUUUUGGUCUAAUCUCCAAGGAUUCUUUAUUCCCCUGGCUUUCCAGAAAAGAGCUAGAAAAUCAAAAAACUAUCUUGCUGUUGGUUGUCUGGCAUGUUUCCAUAGGUUUAAGUAUCAAGCAGGACACAUAGACUCCACAUAGGUUUAAAUUUUCUUCUCCCUUCAUUUGUAUUGCACAAGUAGGUCAUUGCUUUAUCCAACUAUGAUAGCUCUGUCCAGUCUUUAAAUAACUCAAAAAGAACUAUAUGGACUCUGCUGUUGCUGAUUAUGGUUCCUAUCCAUGCAUCUCCUCCUUGUAACAUAAUUUGACGUUCAAGAAAGAAAAACCUUUUGGCUUUGCUGAUUUUUGAGCAGAAAGUGAUUAGCAAUGAGUUUUCUUAACUUUCUUUGCGUCCAUUCAGACAACAACCAAUGACAUUAACUUGAAAUUGUUGUCAUACCUCAUACUGCCUGAUGGCUCUCAUCAUCCCUACACACAUCAAAUCCCUUCUGCUCUCACUGGGGCCACUUUCUCUGAUUGCUUUCGACCUCAGCUUUUUUUUCAGUCCAGGACUGCUUGUCCUCCUCCAGCUAUAUCCUUACAGUUAAUGAGUAUUCUCAUUCAUUCAGUCUGUCUCCUUGAAAGUAUUUUUAGAUUGUGAUCAUCUCCCUUGAGCUGGCUAUUUCUAAGAUAAAUGCUAUUUCAUGUCAUCUUUUCUCUUAUGUUCCCUAUGCCUUAUUACUUUUACGUUUUAACUCCAUUCCCUCUGAGGAUAUCUAAUGAAGACCUUUUGGCUUGCAUGCCUUCAGGGCUGCCCAGUAGUGCAGUAUAGACAGGAACACUGUCCACAACUUACUUUCUAUGAGAUCCUUACUAUACAUAAGAACAGAUUGCUGGUUUACUUCAGAGUUGCAUCCCCAUUGCAAAAACUUCUGAGACUUUAGAGGUGACACCAUUUUUUUCAGAUAGUCACACUUAAAAUAGACAAGCCACUAAGCAAAUGUCUGUGGUUUCUGUGCAAGGUCUUUAGCAACAGGGAGCUUUUACUUCAGCCUCUAGCAUUAUCAGAGAAGAAAUCUGGUGGUCAUCUGAUUU
RNAcentral lists this long non-coding RNA (6553 nucleotides) under Taeniopygia guttata (zebra finch). Its description in RNAcentral is "lncRNA (ENSTGUG00000023065.1)". Lineage: Eukaryota; Metazoa; Chordata; Aves; Passeriformes; Estrildidae. The record is from RNAcentral.